UGCCUAACACAUGCAAGUCGAGCGGAAAGGCCUCCUUCGGGAGGUACUCGAGCGGCGAACGGGUGAGUAACACGUGGGCAACCAACCCCUCACAUCGGGAUACCCCGGGAAAACUCGGAUCAAUACCGGAUAAUGCGCGACGCUGUUGGGCGUCGCACCAAAGGUAGCUUCGGCCUCUGGUGAGGGACGGGCCCGCGGCCCAUUAGCUUGUUGGUGGGGUAAUGGCCUACCAAGGCAACGAUGGGUAGCUGGUCUGAGAGGAUGAUCAGCCACACUGGGACUGAGAUACGGCCCAGACUCCUACGGGAGGCAGCAGUGGGGAAUAUUGCGCAAUGGGCGGAAGCCUGACGCAGCAACGCCGCGUGCGGGAGGAAGGCCUUCGGGUCGUAAACCGCUUUCAGGGGGGACGAAGCCACCAGGGUUAAUAGCCCAUGGGGUGACGGUACUCCCAGAAGAAGCCCCGGCUAACUACGUGCCAGCAGCCGCGGUAAUACGUAGGGGGCGAGCGUUGUCCGGAAUCAUUGGGCGUAAAGGGCGUGUAGGUGGCUUGGAAAGUCUUACGUGAAAGCCUGCGGCUCAACCGCAGAAGUGCGUAGGAAACUUCCUCGCUAGAGUCCGGAAGAGGAGAGCGGAAUUCCUGGUGUAGCGGUGGAAUGCGCAGAUAUCAGGAGGAACACCCGUGGCGAAGGCGGCUCUCUGGGACGGUACUGACACUGAGACGCGAAAGCG
RNAcentral lists this ribosomal RNA (729 nucleotides) under uncultured soil bacterium. Its description in RNAcentral is "bacterial SSU rRNA". It matches the Rfam family "Bacterial small subunit ribosomal RNA", at positions 45 to 761 of the family's 1533-position model. The record is from RNAcentral.